UACGGAGGGUGCAAGCGUUAUCCGGAUUCACUGGGUUUAAAGGGUGCGUAGGUGGGUUGGUAAGUCAGUGGUGAAAUCUCCGAGCUUAACUUGGAAACUGCCAUUGAUACUAUCAGUCUUGAAUAUUGUGGAGGUUAGCGGAAUAUGUCAUGUAGCGGUGAAAUGCUUAGAUAUGACCUAGAACACCAAUUGCGAAGGCAGCUGGCUACACAUAUAUUGACACUGAGGCACGAAAGCGUGGGGAUCAAACAGG
Molecule: ribosomal RNA, 253 nt
Filed under: uncultured bacterium
Lineage: Bacteria
Description: partial 16S ribosomal RNA
Rfam family: Bacterial small subunit ribosomal RNA
Source: RNAcentral